GCGCCACUAGUAUAUCGGUUAUUAUGUGUGCUUCCCAAGCAUGAGAGGACGGUUCGAUUCCGUCGUGGCGCA
This 72-nucleotide transfer RNA is filed under the name Opitutaceae bacterium TAV4. It matches the Rfam family "tRNA". Rfam says of the family: Transfer RNA (tRNA) molecules are approximately 80 nucleotides in length. Lineage: Bacteria; Pseudomonadati; Verrucomicrobiota; Opitutia; Opitutales; Opitutaceae. The record is from Rfam by way of RNAcentral.